AGCGGCGGACGGGUUAGUAACGCGCGGGAACGUGCCCUUUAGUACGGAAUAGCCAUUGGAAACGAUGAUUAAUACCGUAUACGCCCUAUGGGGGAAAGAUUUAUCGCUAAAGGAUCGGCCCGCGUUAGAUUAGGUUGUUGGUGGGGUAAUGGCCUACCAAGCCUACGAUCUAUAGCUGGUUUGAGAGGAUGAUCAGCAACACUGGGACUGAGACACGGCCCAGACUUCUACGGAAGGCAGCAGUAGGGAAUCUUGGACAAUGGGCGAAAGCCUGAUCCAGCCAUGCCGCGUGAGUGAUGAAGGCCCUAGGGUUGUAAAACUCUUUCGCCAGGGAAGAUAAUGACGGUACCUGGUAAAGAAACCCCGGCUAACUCCGUGCCAGCAGCCGCGGUAAUACGGAGGGGGUUAGCGUUGUUCGGAAUUACUGGGCGUAAAGCGCACGUAGGCGGACUAGUCAGUCAGAGGUGAAAUCCCGAGGCUCAACCUCGGAACUGCCUUUGAUACUGCUAGUCUAGAGUUCGAGAGAGGUGAGUGGAAUUCCGAGUGUAGAGGUGAAAUUCGUAGAUAUUCGGAGGAACACCAGUGGCGAAGGCGGCUCACUGGAUCGAUACUGACGCUGAGGUGCGAAAGCGUGGGGAGCAAACAGGAUU
RNAcentral lists this ribosomal RNA (650 nucleotides) under uncultured marine bacterium. RNAcentral's name for it is "bacterial SSU rRNA". It matches the Rfam family "Bacterial small subunit ribosomal RNA", at positions 94 to 779 of the family's 1533-position model. The record is from RNAcentral.